GAACUUAUCUGGCAAGGGAGACACCAUGAUGACAAAGGUGGUUGUCCCCGGGUGAGGCUCAUCGAUCGCACCCUGGAUGUGCAGACCCCUGUGGUGUCCCCAAAUGUGGGGACCCGAGUGCACCAUCCGUGGUGGUGGGGGCUCUGCCUUUGUGUUCUUCCCUG
Molecule: small nuclear RNA, 164 nt
Organism: Molossus molossus (Pallas's mastiff bat)
Lineage: Eukaryota; Metazoa; Chordata; Mammalia; Chiroptera; Molossidae
Product: U1 spliceosomal RNA
Exons: 1
Source: RefSeq, a predicted model, not a curated record